RNAcentral lists this ribosomal RNA (253 nucleotides) under uncultured bacterium. RNAcentral describes it as "partial 16S ribosomal RNA". It matches the Rfam family "Bacterial small subunit ribosomal RNA", at positions 524 to 776 of the family's 1533-position model. The record is from RNAcentral.
GACAGAGGGUGCGAACGUUGUUCGGAAUUACUGGGCGUAAAGCGCGUGUAGGCUGUUCGGAAAGUCGGGUGUGAAAGCCCUGGGCUCAACCUAGGAAGUGCACUCGAAACUCCCGAACUGGAGUCCCGGAGAGGAAGGUGGAAUUCUCGGUGUAGAGGUGAAAUUCGUAGAUAUCGAGAGGAACACCGGCGGCGAAAGCGGCUACCUGGACGAGGACUGACGCUGAGAUGCGAAAGCGUGGGGAGCAAACAGG